UACAAACUAAAUUUAUUAAAUUUUAAAUAUCAGUUUCGGAAUUAAAAUUUAAAUAUCAAUUUCAUAUUUACUUAAAAAGUUGAAAUUACAAAGAUAAAUACAUAUAUAUACACAAAUACACACAAUCAUCAUCUCUAUGGGUUCAUGCACUGGACGGGUUCCGCCACCGGCUUCUCCACUGGCUCCGGUUUCUCCGGUACCGUACCACCGGAGUGAUUCCAUCUGAAGCGACGACUGGAUCUGGUUGUGGGGCGACCGGAGUUGGUUUGAUAUACACACACUCUCUGCCAUUGCUCCGAUCUGUUACGACGCAACUACCUCCGACGCGUCUUCUCCGUCACACCACCAUUUCUCCGUUUCAUCACUGCUACUUCUUCACAGAUCUGUAAAGAAAACAAAAAUCAAUUAGAAAUUGUAUAAUGAGAUGAAGACAAAGAAAGAAAACUAUUUUGCAACCAUUUGUCUAAAGGUAGUUGCACUUUAAGUAAAUAUAGUUUACAAAAUCAUUAAUGUAGAAC
Molecule: long non-coding RNA, 518 nt
Filed under: Brassica napus (rape)
Lineage: Eukaryota; Viridiplantae; Streptophyta; Magnoliopsida; Brassicales; Brassicaceae
Description: long non-coding RNA (BNAP_LNC011028)
Source: RNAcentral